Poecile atricapillus (Black-capped chickadee) is the source of this 800-nucleotide RNA transcript. It is a transcript of the gene named atherin-like, with no coding region annotated. The record is from RefSeq and is a predicted model, not a curated record. NCBI's taxonomy places the organism in Eukaryota, Metazoa, Chordata, Aves, Passeriformes, Paridae. The transcript is spliced from 3 exons.
AGGGGAUUUUGGUGUGGAAUUGGGUAAAUUGGGGAUGGGGGAUCUGAAAUUUCCCCGGAUUCCCCUCCAGGCUGAGCCUCCUGCGGAUCCUGGGGGCGACGGCGGCGGCGCCGUUCGGGGUCGGGGUCCUGAGCCACGGCCUGAGGUGUGGGACCCCCCCCACCCGCCUGGCCUGCGCCACCGCCCUGCUGCUGCUGGCACGGCGAGGCUCUCCCCUGUGGCCGCUGCUCUGGGGGUGGGGGAGGGGCGCUGCCGGUGCUGCUGGGGGGCGUGGCCCGAGGUGGGGGAGGGGCGGCCCCUCCCCCCUUCCCCCUCUACACCGCCGCCGCCAUCGCCCAGGUGAGGGCGGAGCUGGGACACGGCCAGGUGAACGGGCACAGGGACAGCGCUGACACUGCCGGGGACAGGAGGGACACCUGGGGACACCUGGACACACCUGGGGACACCCAAAAUUCACCUGGAGAGACCCAAAUACACCUGGAAACAUCCAGAACUCACCUGGAGAGACCAAAAAUGGACCUGGAGAGACCAAAAAGUCACCUGGGGAGAUCCAGAACUCACCUGGACACACCUGGGGACACCUGGAGACACCUGGGGACACCCAGAACAGACCUGGGGACACCCAAAAUUCACCUGGAGAGACCAAAAAGUCACCUGGGGACACCCAGAAGGGACCUGGACACACCUGGGGACACCUGGGAACACCUGGAACCAUCCAGAACUCACCUGGAGAGACCCAGAAUGGACCUGGGGACACCCAGAAGGGACCUGGAACCAUCCAGAACUCACCUGGGGACACC